RNAcentral lists this transfer RNA (72 nucleotides) under Ictidomys tridecemlineatus (thirteen-lined ground squirrel). RNAcentral describes it as "Spermophilus tridecemlineatus (thirteen-lined ground squirrel) tRNA". It matches the Rfam family "tRNA". Rfam says of the family: Transfer RNA (tRNA) molecules are approximately 80 nucleotides in length. Their secondary structure includes four short double-helical elements and three loops (D, anti-codon, and T loops). Lineage: Eukaryota; Metazoa; Chordata; Mammalia; Rodentia; Sciuridae. The record is from Rfam by way of RNAcentral.
AAAGUUAUAGCUCAGUGGUAGAGCACAAGUUUAGCCUGUAUGAGGCCCUGGGUUCAAUCCCCAGCACCUCUC